UCUGUGGUAUUGUUCCCAUAAUGUGCUUCCA
RNAcentral lists this non-coding RNA (31 nucleotides) under Mus musculus (house mouse). Lineage: Eukaryota; Metazoa; Chordata; Mammalia; Rodentia; Muridae. The record is from RNAcentral.